Molecule: ribosomal RNA, 468 nt
Filed under: uncultured bacterium
Lineage: Bacteria
Description: partial 16S ribosomal RNA
Rfam family: Bacterial small subunit ribosomal RNA
Source: RNAcentral
GACGAACGCUGGCGGCGUGCUUAACACAUGCAAGUCGAACGGAAAGGCCCUGCUUUUGUGGGGUGCUCGAGUGGCGAACGGGUGAGUAACACGUGAGUAACCUGCCCUUGACUUUGGGAUAACUUCAGGAAACUGGGGCUAAUACCGGAUAGGAGCUCCUGCUGCAUGGUGGGGGUUGGAAAGUUUCGGCGGUUGGGGAUGGACUCGCGGCUUAUCAGCUUGUUGGUGGGGUAGUGGCUUACCAAGGCUUUGACGGGUAGCCGGCCUGAGAGGGUGACCGGCCACAUUGGGACUGAGAUACGGCCCAGACUCCUACGGGAGGCAGCAGUGGGGAAUAUUGCACAAUGGGCGGAAGCCUGAGGCAGCAACGCCGCGUGCGGGAUGAAGGCCUUCGGGUUGUAAACCGCUUUCGCCUGAGACGAAGCGUGAGUGACGGUAAUGGGUAAAGAAGCACCGGCUAAAUACGUG